This 475-nucleotide long non-coding RNA is filed under the name Cyanistes caeruleus (blue tit). Its description in RNAcentral is "lncRNA (ENSCCEG00000007741.1)". Lineage: Eukaryota; Metazoa; Chordata; Aves; Passeriformes; Paridae. The record is from RNAcentral.
AGGAUUUGGGCCUUGCACGAGGAUUUGGGCCUUGCACGAGGAUUGGGCCUUUCACAAGGAUUUGGGCCUUGCACGAGUAUCAGGCCUUGCACGAGGAUCGGGCCUUGAACGAGGAUCGGGCCUUGAACGAGGAUCGGGCCUUGCAUGAGGACAAUCCUUGCACGAGCAUCGAACCUUGCACGAGGAUUUGGGCCUUGCACGAGGAUUUGGGCCUUGCACGAGGAUUUGGGCCUUGCACGAGUAUCGGGCCUUGAACGAGGAUUUGGGCCUUGCACGAGGAUUUGGGCCUUGCACAAGGAUUUGGGCCUUGCACGAGGACAAUCCUUGCACGAGGAUUUGGGCCUUGCACGAGGAUUUGGGCCUUGCACGAGGCCGGUGCUCACACCUGGGCACGCUCCCCGCUCGUGCCAGGCCAGCCCCGGGACUGAGCGUGAGUGUGAGCGUGAGUGUGAGUGUGAGCAGGGCUGGGGGCUCA